GUGCUUGCUUUGGCAGCACAUAUAGUACACUUGGAAUGAUACAGAGAAGAUUAGCAUGGCCCCUGUGCAAAGAUGACAUGCAAAUUCAUGAAGCAGUCCAUAAAAAA
This is a small nuclear RNA of Cercocebus atys (sooty mangabey), 107 nucleotides long. Lineage: Eukaryota; Metazoa; Chordata; Mammalia; Primates; Cercopithecidae. The record is from Ensembl.